Molecule: long non-coding RNA, 847 nt
Organism: Oenanthe melanoleuca
Lineage: Eukaryota; Metazoa; Chordata; Aves; Passeriformes; Muscicapidae
Exons: 2
Source: RefSeq, a predicted model, not a curated record
UGGAGUCGGUGCUGAACCACGUCCCUCAGCCCGAGUACAGGCAGCUCCUGGUGGAAGCUAUUCUCGUCCUGACCUUCCUGUCCGACAUCGAGGUGAACAGCAUCGGGGGCAUCAUCCACGUGGACAGAAUCGUGCACAUGGCCAAUGACCUGUUUCUGCAGGAGCUGAAAUCAUUUGGAGCUACUGGUAGUAUCUUGGAGAAAGACACAGCCACAGGAAUUUGCCACUAUUUUUAUGACAGUGCUCCCAGCGGAGCCUAUGGCACCAUGACUUACCUAACAAAAGCCAUAAUUAUUUAUUUACACGAUUUUCUGCCCAGCACAGGCUGUGCAAUGCAGUAAAUGAUGCCUCACAUGGGAGGGAAGGCUCAGAGGCUCUUCCUCUCCAGUUCAGUGUCACAAACCCCUUGGUUGGUUGCUGCCUGUGUGUGUGCCAUGCACUCCCUGAGCAUUUGGCACUGCUGGGGAUGCUCUGUGCACACCUCCUGCUGGGGACAGGGAGCUGGAAUUUGGCCUGGUUGUAGGAGAGUGUGCAAGAAAUAACAAAUAAUGAGGCUUAUUCUGCCCAAAGUGCAUAAAUGUAAUUUGUAUUAAAUUAGCAAGAAUUAUACAAUUCUGCCAAGGGCAAAGCAGAUUACUUUGUGGAGAUCAAAAGGCAUAAUAAAAUGAGGGAGCUGCAUCGUGGGCAUAGUCUCACAAAUAAGAGAAGUGAUGGAAUUCAUUAAUUUUUCUCCUGCUGUGUGUAAAUGUACAUCAUUGUGAAUCACUAAUGCACAGUGUGAAACAUCCAGGGAAAUGUAAAUUAGAGGAGUAAGAAUAACUUGAAAUAACAUGAUAUUUCUAAUACA